Molecule: ribosomal RNA, 483 nt
Filed under: uncultured bacterium
Lineage: Bacteria
Description: partial 16S ribosomal RNA
Rfam family: Bacterial small subunit ribosomal RNA
Source: RNAcentral
GACGAACGCUGGCGGCGUGCUUAACACAUGCAAGUCGAACGAUGAUGCCCAGCUUGCUGGGUGGAUUAGUGGCGAACGGGUGAGUAACACAUGAGUAACCUGCCCCUGACUCUGGGAUAAGCGUUGGAAACGACGUCUAAUACUGGAUAUGACUGCCGGCCGCAUGGUCUGGUGGUGGAAAGAUUUUUUGGUUGGGGAUGGACUCGCGGCCUAUCAGCUUGUUGGUGAGGUAAUGGCUCACCAAGGCGACGACGGGUAGCCGGCCUGAGAGGGUGACCGGCCACACUGGGACUGAGACACGGCCCAGACUCCUACGGGAGGCAGCAGUGGGGAAUAUUGCACAAUGGGCGAAAGCCUGAUGCAGCAACGCCGCGUGAGGGAUGACGGCCUUCGGGUUGUAAACCUCUUUUAGUAGGGAAGAAGCGAAAGUGACGGUACCUGCAGAAAAAGCACCGGCUAACUACGUGCCAGCAGCCGCAGUAA